This 289-nucleotide ribosomal RNA is filed under the name uncultured bacterium. RNAcentral describes it as "partial 16S ribosomal RNA". It matches the Rfam family "Bacterial small subunit ribosomal RNA", at positions 505 to 796 of the family's 1533-position model. The record is from RNAcentral.
GUGCCACAGCGCGGUAAUACGGAGGGUGCAAGCGUUGUCCGGAAUCCCUGGGCGUAAAGGGUGCGCAGGCGGGCAGCAAGUCGGAGGUGAAAGCCCAUGGCUCAACCAUGGAAGUGCCUUCGAAACUGUUGCUCUUGAGUCCCGGAGAGGCUGUCGGAAUUCGUGGUGUAGCGGUGAAAUGCGUAGAUAUCACGAGGAACACCAGAGGCGAAAGCGGGCAACUGGACGGGUACUGACACUGAGGCACGAAAGCGUGGGGAGCGAACAGGAUUAGAUACCCCAGUAGUCC